GUUCAGAGGCAGCAGCAGCAAUCUAGCCAUGAGGUCAUGUGGUUAACAGUGGUUAAAAUGGAGCGAAGGACCAAUAGAAGAGAUAUUGCAAAGGGAGACCCAUAGGGUUUAUGGUCUUCUUAGACUUUAAAGGUAGGAGCCAAAGGAGAGGAAAGUUUAGACUUGAUAGUUCACAAUGGUGCCAUUGAUAGGAAUGUGGCUAUUGGAGGUGGAGAAGGGUAGUUGAUGUAUAUAGUUUUUGAUACAGGCUGGGAGUUCCCGUCGAGGCUCAGUGGUUAACGAAUCCACCUAGGAACCAUGAGGUUGUGGGUUCAAUUCCUGGCCUCACUCAGUGGGUUAAGGAGCCGGCCUUGCUGUGAGCUUGUGGUGUAGGUCACAGACGAGGCUCAGAUCCCGCGUUGCUGGGACUGUGGUGCAGGCUGGCAGUUGUAACUCCAAUUCAACCCUAGCCUGGGAACCUCCAUAUGCAGUGAGCAUAGCCCUAGAAAAAGACAAAAAGAAAAAGAAAAAAAGAAAGAAAUACAGGACUGAAUCCUGGACUGAGAAGAAGGGUGGAGCCUUGGGGAAGGUGCCUGCCUCUGGGAUGGAAAGCAGAAGCUGGAAGAGAACCAGAAGCCAAAAAGAAGAGAGUCUCAGGAAGGGAAGAGGAUGGAGCAGCAGAGACCAGGGAGAAGGGACCAGAGGGAAGGCUGCCGAAUUGGUGAUAAGGUGAUUGCAGCUGACUUUGGGGAAUGUGAUGCCACGAGAGGGGAAGCCACAUUGUGCAGGACUGGUCAUAAAUGAGGGAUAAAGAAUCAGACAUUAGUAAAAUAGACCACUUAUGGAGAGUUUGGAUGGUAAAAGAAGGGAGACACAAAGAUGUCUGUAUCUGCAUGCCAAAAAACCUUUUCUUUAGCUUUGAGGCAAGCAAAGCGUGCCUUGACUGGUUCUCAUGUCCUUCUCCAGAGCCAAGUGUUUGGGAGUUUAUGUGUACUUUGGGCUUGCGAUUGUGUUCUUAUGCUUACUCUGAGGUGUGGUGUUCCUGAGCUCUGCCACAACUUGCACCAGCGGAAUCCAGCCCAGGCUUGGACCCUUGCCAUGAGACAAGAUGUGAUCUGUUAGGGACAUGGUUGCAUUUGCCUCAAUUGGAGGAGAAAAUAGGGUAGAGCAAGAAAUGGAAAUGAAACUCCUUACUGCAGAGUCCACCCAAGUACGGGAAUUUGGGAUCAUUUCUCCAGUCACUCAACUAGAUAGCCAUUUAUGUUCUGAGCAUUUCGAGUGUAUGUUCUUGGGUUUGAAUUCUGAGUAGCUUUUGGCUUGGUUUUGGGGAAUGUAGCAGUUAGAGAUCGAGUCAUAAAAGCAGCACAUGGAACUGGUUUGGAUCCUCUGUUUAGUGAACUCUCACUGUGUACCAGGCACAGUGCUGAGUGCUCUACAAGUGUUAUUUUAUGUCAUCUUUGCAACAACCUAUGACAUGUGAAUUAGUGUCCCCAUUUCAGCAAUAAGGAAAUCAGAUCACAGAAGUUGGGUAGCCUGCCCAAGGUUACAAGGGAUUUGAACCCAGAGCUGCCUGACCCCUGGUCUGUGCUGCUUUCUGUUUUCACCCACCUAAGCCUGGAAUUUCUCCUCCUACUUAUAUAGAUGGACUGGAGGCAGAAUGAGUUCUUAAGGUUAAAUAUUCAGAGCUUCUGGUGGGUAUUUCUGCUCCUUAGGCAUCUAUUAAAAGGGUAGAAGAAGUGUGAGAUCCCUGGAAGAAACUAAGGCCAAACUUCAAACACUUACCUUAGGAGUUCUUUUGUGGCACAAACGGUUGAGAAUCCAGCGUGGUCACUGCGGUGGCUUGGGUGGAUGCUGUGGUGCGGGUUCGAUCCCUGGCCUGGAAAUUUUCACCUGCCACAGGCACAGCCAAAAAGAAAACAGAGGAGUUCCCGUCGUGGCUCAGUGGUUAAUGAACCCAAUUAGCAUCCAUGAGGACAGAGGUUCAAUCCCUGGCCUUACUCCGUGGUUAAGCCUCUGGUGUUGCCGUGAGCUGUGGUGUAGGUCACAGACGCAGCUCGAAUCCUGUGUUGCUGUGGCUCUGAUGUAGGCUGGCGGCUACAGCUCUGAUUGGACCCCUAGCCUGGGAACCUCCAUAUGCUGCAGGUGUGGCCCUAU
RNAcentral lists this long non-coding RNA (2133 nucleotides) under Sus scrofa (pig). Its description in RNAcentral is "lncRNA (ENSSSCG00065027997.1)". The record is from RNAcentral. Lineage: Eukaryota; Metazoa; Chordata; Mammalia; Artiodactyla; Suidae.